AUAAGAGUUAUUUUUGUGAACUCUUUUGUUGGAAGAAACAUAUCUUAUAUAUUAUAUAAUGUUUGGUGGCGGUGGUGGUGGUGGUGGUGGACGCAUGGUAACGGUUGUUGGAAGAGCGGUGACAGCAUGCGGUGUCUGUGGCACCACUCCCACUAGAGUCUCUGCUUCUUCACACAAAGUGGAUUCAUCAGACUCCAUCCAUCUUUCAUUCUCUUCUAAUUCCUCUCUCUCUUCUGAGACUCUUUCUAACAAUCUCUUCAAUGCAUCAUUCCCCGAUGACUGGGCUUUUGUUCAUAAUAAUCAUAAUGCUAAUCAUGAUGAUGAUGAUGAUGAUGAUGAUGAUGAUGCUGUUCCUUCUGAGACUGACGUUGAUGCUGCUCUUUCUGCUCUCCAUCGG
Molecule: long non-coding RNA, 397 nt
Filed under: Lupinus mutabilis
Lineage: Eukaryota; Viridiplantae; Streptophyta; Magnoliopsida; Fabales; Fabaceae
Description: partial ncRNA
Source: RNAcentral